RNAcentral lists this ribosomal RNA (423 nucleotides) under uncultured bacterium. RNAcentral's name for it is "bacterial SSU rRNA". It matches the Rfam family "Bacterial small subunit ribosomal RNA", at positions 207 to 622 of the family's 1533-position model. The record is from RNAcentral.
AAGACCUUGCGCUUUUGGAGCGGCCGAKGCCUGAUUAGCUUGUUGGUAAGGUAAAGGCUUACCAAGGCUUCGAUCAGUAGCUGGUCUGAGAGGACGGCCAGCCACACUGGGACUGAGACACGGCCCAGACUCCUACGGGAGGCAGCAGUGGGGAAUUUUGGACAAUGGGGGAAACCCUGAUCCAGCCAUGCCGCGUGAGUGAAGAAGGCCUUCGGGUUGUAAAGCUCUUUCAGCCGGAACGAAACGGUUACGGAUAAUACCCGUGACUACUGACGGUACCGGAAGAAGAAGCACCGGCUAACUACGUGCCAGCAGCCGCGGUAAUACGUAGGGUGCGAGCGUUAAUCGGAAUUACUGGGCGUAAAGCGUGCGCAGGUGGUUUUGUAAGUCAGAUGUGAAAGCCCCGGGCUCAACCUGGGAACU